AUACGUAGGUGACAAGCGUUAUCCGGAUUUACUGGGCGUAAAGGGCGUGUAGGCGGUCUUGCAAGACAGAAGUGAAAUUCCCGGGCUUAACUUGGGCGCUGCUUCUGAAACUGCUUUACUUGAGUGCUGGAGAGGAUAGUGGAAUUCCUAGUGUAGCGGUAAGAUGCGCAGAUAUUAGGAGGAACACCGGUGGCGAAGGCGGCUAUCUGGACAGUAACUGACGCUGAGGCGCGAAAGCACGGGGAGCAAACAGGAUUAGAUACCCUGGUAGUCCGUGCCGUAAACGAUGAAUACUAGGUGUAGGGGGUAUCGACUCCCUCUGUGCCGCAGUUAACACAUUAAGUAUUCCACCUGGGGAGUACGGCCGCAAGGUUGAAACUCAAAUGAAUUGGCGGGG
Molecule: ribosomal RNA, 397 nt
Filed under: uncultured bacterium
Lineage: Bacteria
Description: partial 16S ribosomal RNA
Rfam family: Bacterial small subunit ribosomal RNA
Source: RNAcentral